This 776-nucleotide long non-coding RNA is filed under the name Panax ginseng (ginseng). Its description in RNAcentral is "long non-coding RNA (PGIN_LNC015738)". The record is from RNAcentral. Lineage: Eukaryota; Viridiplantae; Streptophyta; Magnoliopsida; Apiales; Araliaceae.
UAUUCAAGGGUAAUUAAUAGCCAAACAUGUGUACAAAUAUAAAUGUAAUAAGGAUAUAUAAUAGUCUGUGGUACAAAUACUUUGAGCUGCAACCCAAGGAAAUGUAUGAUUAUUGUGAGGAGAGAAAAAAACAAUUACAGAGUAUAUACCCAGAAAGCCAAAACUAUACAACAAGACAGAAUUAAUUAUAAUCCCAUGAAAUUGAUGCCUGAAAAUGAACUUGCAAGGAAGAAAAAUAAAGAGGAGAAGUAAUUAAUUCUCAAAAACUAACCAAAAAACAGUAAGUUACAUAAAUCAAAUAAGAAUUAACUGAUCUUGCAACAAAAAUUAACAAAUAACGGUAAGUACAGAGAAAGAAAUGGUAUAUUAGUACCUGUGACAUGGGCUCUCAGCUUUAAUUUGAGCACUCAAGCAAAUCCCCAUAUGAAACUACAUCAAUAAAUGAACAAGGGACUGCUCCAAGUUUCUUCUUCCUUUAACCCUGCAGCUCAGCGAAAUACUAAUCUUUAGGAGCUGCAAAAAAAAAAAGCGGACUUGUUUGUGAAAAGCUGGAAGGGAAAAAAACUUUACUUUUUCCGUACAGAAACCAUGGUUUUUACCAAAAACACAGCUCAUUAAUUGAUUUUUUUUUAAUAAAAAAAAUCAAGUAUAGAAUUUGAAUUAAGCAGAAACCCAUAACAUAAUAAUCAAAAAACUAGUAACCCACCUUUGUUUAUGUGAAAACACAACCAGAACUUAAGGGAGAGAAAGGGUUAAAGAGAAAGAAGGGUUUGUUG